CCUACGGGAGGCUGCAGUGAGGAAUAUUGGUCAAUGGCCGAGAGGCUGAACCAGCCAAGUCGCGUGAGUGAAGAAGUAUUUCGGUAUGUAAAGCUCUAUCAGCAGGGAAGAAAAUGACAGUACCUGACCAAGAAGCCCCGGCUAACUACGUGCCAGCAGCCGCGGUAAUCCGGAGGGGGCCAGCGUUAUCCGGAUUUACUGGGUGUAAAGGGAGCGUAGACGGUUAUGUAAGUCUGGAGUGAAAGCUCGGGGCCCAACCCCGGGACUGCUUUGGAAACUGUGUAACUGGAGUACAGGAGGGGCAGGCGGAAUUCGUGGUGUAGCGGUGAAAUGAGUAGAUAUCAGGAGGAACACCGGCGGCGAAGGCGGCCUGCUGGACUGAAACUGACGUUGAGGCUCGAAAGCGUGGGGAGCAAACAGGAUUAGAUACCCGAGUAGUC
RNAcentral lists this ribosomal RNA (440 nucleotides) under uncultured bacterium. Its description in RNAcentral is "partial 16S ribosomal RNA". It matches the Rfam family "Bacterial small subunit ribosomal RNA", at positions 338 to 795 of the family's 1533-position model. The record is from RNAcentral.